AUGAACGCUGGCGGCGUGCCUAAUACAUGCAAGUCGAGCGAACAGAUGAGGAGCUUGCUCCUCUGACGUUAGCGGCGGACGGGUGAGUAACACGUGGAUAACCUACCUAUAAGACUGGGAUAACUUCGGGAAACCGGAGCUAAUACCGGAUAAUAUAUUGAACCGCAUGGUUCAAUAGUGAAAGACGGUUUUGCUGUCACUUAUAGAUGGAUCCGCGCCGCAUUAGCUAGUUGGUAAGGUAACGGCUUACCAAGGCAACGAUGCGUAGCCGACCUGAGAGGGUGAUCGGCCACACUGGAACUGAGACACGGUCCAGACUCCUACGGGAGGCAGCAGUAGGGAAUCUUCCGCAAUGGGCGAAAGCCUGACGGAGCAACGCCGCGUGAGUGAUGAAGGUCUUCGGAUCGUAAAACUCUGUUAUUAGGGAAGAACAAAUGUGUAAGUAACUAUGCACGUCUUGACGGUACCUAAUCAGAAAGCCACGGCUAAUUACGUG
This 496-nucleotide ribosomal RNA is filed under the name uncultured bacterium. RNAcentral describes it as "partial 16S ribosomal RNA". It matches the Rfam family "Bacterial small subunit ribosomal RNA", at positions 29 to 507 of the family's 1533-position model. The record is from RNAcentral.